UCGCGGCUUAUCACCGGCAGUCCCCUUAGAGUGCCCAACUGAAUGAUGGCAACUAAGGGCGAGGGUUGCGCUCGUUGCGGGACUUAACCCAACAUCUCACGACACGAGCUGACGACGGCCAUGCAGCACCUGUGUUCUAGCUCUCUUUCGAGCACUCCCACAUCUCUGCGGACUUCUGGAGGGUUCCAACCCAGGUAAGGUUCUUCGCGUUGCGUCGAAUUAAACCACAUGCUCCACCGCUUGUGCGGGCCUCCGUCAAUUCCUUUGAGUUUUAGCCUUGCGGCCGUACUCCCCAGGCGGGGUGCUUAAUGCGUUAGCUGCGGCACGGGGGGAGUCGACACCCCCCACACCUAGCACCCAUCGUUUACGGCGUGGACUAC
Molecule: unclassified non-coding RNA, 380 nt
Filed under: uncultured bacterium
Lineage: Bacteria
Description: contains 16S-23S intergenic spacer region
Source: RNAcentral